UAUAUAUAACUUAGGAUGGCGACGGACAAGUUGACCAUAUACCUGCACUAUGAAGAUACAAAUCAGGAAGCCAAAAUUUUACAAAGAUCCAUGAUGAGACGUGAUGUCUCGUAUUACGACUUAAUCUUGAUGAUCGAAGAAGUUGGCUUUCAGGCAAUUGACUUUCUGUACUAUGCAAAAAAAACCCGUCUAGGCAGCUCCUACUUAGUUCACAUUUAUGAUGAAGGUCUUGUGAUGAAAAUGUUGUCCGACCCUGAGAUUGUGAAAGCUGUCCAUCUGUAUGUGUCUAAGGAGAAGGCUGACGAUCAUAUUGCUCCGCCUAGCAAGCAAAUUGAUGUUGCUCCAUCUAACCAUCCAAAUGAGAGUGUUCUCUUACAGGACGGUGGUGUCUCUGCUGAAGCGGCAGGGCAACUUACUACGCAAGGGCCGCAAAGACCACCACGUAGGUCAAAAAGGUUGAAUGUGAUUCAGGUUACGGACCAACGUGAUGAUGAAGAUGGAGACUGCAACAAUGGUGAGCAAUUCCCACAAGGUCAUGAAUCACAAGCAUUGGUCGGUGAAGAGGGUCAAGUUCACAAUCAAGUAGACAAAGAAGUACGCAAGCGCAAGAGAACAAGCUUGCCAAUUGUCUGGAACAUGCCAAAGGGGCAGAGAAUAGUUGUGAAAUGCAAUGAAGAUAGCCAGCCUAUAGGAGAUGAAGGUGCAAUCUUGGGGAAGUUUCUGGGCACGGUUGCUAGAAAUGGAGGAUUUUGCCCACUAAACAUAAAUGAUUGGCGUCAUGUCAAAAAGAAUAGUGGUGAGGAAACAAUAUUGCAGUGCGUACAGACAAAGUUCGUGUAUCCUCGAUCAUGUGAAAAAUGGAUACUCAAAUCAAUUGGAAGAGACUGGAGGAAAUUUAAGUCUAGUUUGAAAGAUGCUUUCUUCAAACCCGCCAUUGAAAAAAAUCCAAACAUCAAGCGAAAGGCUUUGUAUAAGCUCUGUCCAGAAGAUGUGGACGACGUCAAUGGUGUGGGCUUGUUAAAUAUUGGAAGUCCAAAAAAGGAAGGGACCUUGCUGAGAAGAACAUAAUUAGUCGUUCCCUCGUGAAGGAUUCACAUAAUGCUGGCGCAAAGAGUUAUGCUUGUUGGGGCGAAGACAUGAGGCAAGCUGAUCCUGAAAAGAAACGACCACACAGAUCAAAGGUUUAUUUAGCAACUCACAAGAAGAAGGACGAUGUUGAUGCUAAAAAUAAAGAUAGAAAUAAGCGCCUGGAUCGAUUGGAGAAUCUAAUAACCGAACGACCAGAGUUGGCACAAAAUUUGAAUGGAAGAGUCGCAUGGGAAGGUGAUGCCCUGCAGGAAGUGUUAGGGAAAGAAAAGAUUGGACAAGUGCAUGGCAUGGGUUUGCUUCCAACUCCUAAGCAAGUCUACGGUCGGAUGCCACGGUAUCUAAAGAACAUCAAUAUGACUACAACUGAUGGAUCACCAUAUGAAGUUGAACAUGACGUUUGGGAGGUAAUAGCAAAGAUGAAGGAGCAUAUAAAAAAGCAAGACCAGAUUAUUAAAGAUAUGAAUAACAAAGAAGGCUAUGUCAAUAAUGGCAUAGAAGAGGAAAACCUCCAAUCAAAUGAUAAUGGUAUUUCUCGGUCACCAGUACUGCUUGGUAAAACAAAGAGAACCCAGUGCAAUGGACCCGUUGAGGCACGCUCGUCUAUGCAACAUGACAUUCCUGAGGAUAAUAAUUUAUCACGUUUGCAUGAAAAGGUUGGCGACCAUGAUGUCAACCAAUUACAAAUUCAACAAAAUUCAUCAUCACCACAAGACCUUGUUAUUGAUUCCGUGCUAGAGGUGAGGGAAAUGAGGAAUAUUACGGGUGAAUCUGUUUCAAGACCGAACCAGCAAAGGACUAGAACUGAACACCCACACCGCUCAAAAAGAAGGCGUUCUUCUUCCAUCAAGGUAAAGAUUCACCAAGUAGCAUGGUUUACUGCACCCAAAUUAACAACCCAAACCCUCAUUAUCAUGUCUGCUUGAAAAAUGG
Triticum aestivum (bread wheat) is the source of this 2019-nucleotide RNA transcript. RefSeq lists it as uncharacterized. Lineage: Eukaryota; Viridiplantae; Streptophyta; Magnoliopsida; Poales; Poaceae. The record is from RefSeq and is a predicted model, not a curated record. The transcript is spliced from 11 exons.